This 77-nucleotide transfer RNA is filed under the name Alphaproteobacteria bacterium. RNAcentral's name for it is "tRNA-Arg". It matches the Rfam family "tRNA". From Rfam's summary of the family: Transfer RNA (tRNA) molecules are approximately 80 nucleotides in length. Their secondary structure includes four short double-helical elements and three loops (D, anti-codon, and T loops). Further hydrogen bonds mediate the characteristic L-shaped molecular structure. tRNAs have two regions of fundamental functional importance: the anti-codon, which is responsible for specific mRNA codon recognition, and the 3' end, to which the tRNAs corresponding amino acid is attached (by aminoacyl-tRNA synthetases). tRNAs cope with the degeneracy of the genetic code in two manners: having more than one tRNA (with a specific anti-codon) for a particular amino acid; and 'wobble' base-pairing, i.e. permitting non-standard base-pairing at the 3rd anti-codon position. Lineage: Bacteria; Pseudomonadati; Pseudomonadota; Alphaproteobacteria. The record is from RNAcentral.
GGGCUCGUAGCUCAGAUGGAUAGAGCAGCCGCCUCCUAAGCGGCAGGUCGCGCGUUCGAAUCGCGCCGAGCCUACCA